UCCUCAGCGCACAGGAGGAGGAGCUGGCCCACCCACGGUUCCCAUAAGCACUUGGUUUCUCUUUACUGCUUCUAGAGGAUGCAUCUGGGAGGCACCAAGCCCUCAGAGAACCAGGAGGCUGGAUUCUCUUAACAGCGGAUGGAGGGUAGUAGUUGACGGGCUCACAGACCCACGGCGCCAACUGAGCCAUCUUAUCUUCUCCACGGAAGCAGGAGGAGGGAGCCCUGAGUCUUCAGGGACUCCUGUACUUUGCAGAUCCCACUGACUUCAUUGGGGUGACAGCCAUCUUGGUUCAUCAGAGUUCAUGACCCAGCUGCUUCUGAUGGAAAGGGAAAGACUAAUCCACUGAGUCUAAAGUGCCUUUCCUCGUGCUUGUCCUACUGAGGUGAUUCAGAGGGACCAACAGCAGGUUGACAUGGCUCAAGGGAUGAACUCAGAAGCUCCAGGCAGCCCUACCAGGAUCCAGUUAAUCCACUCUAGUGACACAGACAGGAAAUAGCCCAGGAACAUCAAGAGUCAAAACCCUGCUCCUCUUCCUAACUCCUUCCAACUCCUGCUGAGUGGCUCUGCAUGACCCAAUAAUUCUAUCAUUGGCCAGAACUGGAAAACCAUUAAGAUCAA
This is a long non-coding RNA of Talpa occidentalis (Iberian mole), 621 nucleotides long. RefSeq lists it as uncharacterized. Lineage: Eukaryota; Metazoa; Chordata; Mammalia; Eulipotyphla; Talpidae. The transcript is spliced from 3 exons. The record is from RefSeq and is a predicted model, not a curated record.